ACUAAAUCCACAUAUAUCAUUUCUAAUUUGAGCACCUCAUUACCAGGUUGUUGGAAGUGUCCGGGAAGGUUUCUGCAUUUAGAAUAAACACUGUUUGUAAAAUAGUUUUCUAGUUAUCCGCGGGAUUGACAGCAGAACCAUAAAACAAGAAACAUGCAGCAACUUAAUAUCAUAGCUCUCAUUGUUCUCAUAGGAACUUCCAUUUCCAUGGUAUCAACAUCAACAACAAGUAUUGACCCGUCGUCGACCGAAACGACAACUAACACCGAUACAGGAUCAACAACCAUUGAAUCGUCGUCGACCGAAACGACAACUAACACCGAUACAGGAUCAACAACCAUUGAAUCGUCGUCGACCGAAACGACGACCUCGGGCAAUGGAAUGGGACAAAACACUGGUACGACGACCACAACCAGUGAUAUGGGAACAGCCGCCGUUAUGUCGACCUCAGACACUCAAACGUCAACAACCACUGGCUCUAUCAUGGCAACCUCAUCCUCAGACGUUAGCCAAUCAUCAACUGUCGGAUCCAACGAUACAACAACACAACCAACCAACACAACAGAGAAAGCUGGAGCUGUGUCGCCUACCCAUCAUCUUCAUCUGACUACUCUCUUACUUAUUUCAUUCAUCUUCGCUAUUUUAGCCUAUUUAAUCUAAACUUAUAACUUACUUGAAAAUAUUACAAACUUUGAAACAUUUUGACAAAACACACAGUGGGGAUACCCGAUUCAAUUUUCCAGAAUUAAAUUCUCUCAAUCCCAACCAAAAGUGAAAAACGGGGAUUUCGGGCUACAAUAAAAAAUCUCAACCAACCAUGACAGCAGAAACAUCUUUUAGCAGGACUGACACAACGGUAACAGGGCUGGAUUCCAUUUCACUUGAUAGUAAUUCUGUCAAUUCGGGAAGUUCCUGUCUGACAUUAGAGCAUCCCCUAUGAUAAUACUUGAAUUAUAAAUGAAAGGAAAUGGGGUUUAACGUCCUACUGUUCUGCUCCAACUUGAACUAUAUUUAAGUCUGUUUCGACAUUUUGGGGAAAAUUCUUGAUAUAAUGUAUUAAUUAAACAUGUUCUUAAGGGUUCUAGAAACAAACGGAAACAAAUGUAAAACAACUUUUUUUCUUUUUUUUGAAAGGCGGGUGGGAGGGGGAGACAUACCACUAUAGACUGGGAAUAGUAUUGCUUUUAUUUUUAUUAAAGCUUUCGUUGGGGAGUUUUAAUGAAUUCUAUAUUGUUUCCGAUACGUUUUUUGAAAGGAGGGUGGGGGUGGGGGAGGGGAGGCAUACCACUAUAGAUCUGAAAUAGCUUGAGUAUGGUUAUUAUAUCUAUUAAGGCUUUCGUUAGGGUGUCUUUUUUUGAAAGGAGGGUGGGAGGGGAGGGGGGAGGCAUACCACUAUAGAUCUGAAAUAGCUUGAGUAUUGAUAUUAUUUUUAUUAAGGCUUUUGUUAGGGUGUUGUCUCCAUUAUUAUGUGUGUAACCACAAAGAUAUUAAUUAUUAACCACUGUCUAAUUUGACAUAUUUGGGAUAAGGCGGGGAUGGGGACGGGAGGGGGGUAUCCUGGAGUACGAGAUGAAGGAGGAAGGAAUUCCUCCUGAUAUAUUUCAUUGAUGCACAUCUUUUUACCAAUAUUUCGUUCCGUUUAAUUUGUCGAUGGUUUACUGCAAUACAUCUAAACGCAUCAGUUAUACUCGGUAUCUGAUUGGUCGAAACAUGACUUGACACCAUUUGAUUGGUCUUAUGUAUAUCCAUCUCUGGUGUGAGUGUAUGUGGCUUAGAGAUGGAGGUGCCUUCUCAACCUCGUGGGUUUGAUCUGGCUACUCCAGUUUCUGUCCACAGGCAAGACCACGAAGAAAACAAAAGAAUAUCCACAAAUCAAACGGAACGUCACUAUCUAUAAAUAGACCAUUGUUUAAGAAUGACGUGUCAUUAUUGAAAUGUUUGUAUUUUUUAGGAUAAAAUGGGAACGUGUUCCCUGAAAUAAACCCUUACCUUAACCCUAACCCUGACAACACCCAUUUAACCUAUGCAGCGGAAAUAUCCGUCCACCAUUUCUCCCGACACGAGCCCAUAAUUGUUCUUAGAAUGCGUGUUCCAUCAAGAAAAUGAGGUUUAUAAACUGAGCAGUCGUUGAGCAGGUGAUUUAUCACCUUUGGUGGAAGUUGACGAACGGAGGAAGUGAAAGAACUAAACACAAAUUAAAACAGUUAGUUUAUGGUUUGUCCGCCAUGUUAGAUACUGUUCGGGAUAUUCUCUAAUUGAAUUUUUAAAAAAAUAAUACCUAAUUUAAUGUUCUUUCUACGGAAGCUAAAAAGGGCCAUGUUAUUUUUACAUUUUUACAAUAAUUUCAACUUAGUAUCUAAUCAAGUUGAAAUUAUAGAUACUUAGUUGAAAUUUUUAGUUAUUAAGUUUUAAAAGUUGACAUUUCAAGGCCCUAUUUAGCUUCCGUAACUUUCACAUUGUGAUCUACUAUAUGCUGUAUGUACUUUCGCCUAUAGUUAGAAAAUAAAGCACGUGUUAUUCUGUCAA
Long non-coding RNA from Patella vulgata (common limpet), 2526 nucleotides. RefSeq lists it as uncharacterized. The transcript is spliced from 3 exons. NCBI's taxonomy places the organism in Eukaryota, Metazoa, Mollusca, Gastropoda, Patellidae. The record is from RefSeq and is a predicted model, not a curated record.